This 324-nucleotide unclassified non-coding RNA is filed under the name soil metagenome. Its description in RNAcentral is "partial contains 5.8S ribosomal RNA, internal transcribed spacer 2, and large subunit ribosomal RNA". The stretch from base 1 to 120 matches the Rfam family "5.8S ribosomal RNA", at positions 35 to 154 of the family's 154-position model. The record is from RNAcentral.
GAUGAAGAACGCAGCGAAAUGCGAUAAGUAGUGUGAAUUGCAGAAUUCAGUGAAUCAUCGAAUCUUUGAACGCACAUUGCGCCCCUUGGUAUUCCAUGGGGCAUGCCUGUUCGAGCGUCAUUUGUACCUUCAAGCUUUGCUUGGUGUUGGGUGUUUGUCCCUCGGGACUCGCCUUAAAGUCAUUGGCAGCCAGUGUUUUGGUUUUGAAGCGCAGCACAAGUCGCGAUUCAAGGCUAUCCUCCCGCUUCCACAAGCCUUUUUCACUUUUGACCUCGGAUCAGGUAGGGAUACCCGCUGAACUUAAGCAUAUCAAUAAGCGGAGGA